UAGCUUCUACUUUGCACUUGAUUUGCUCGCACAUUUGCUCACAAUGUUUCUUGAAUCUUGUUUUGUACAGUAGUUCUGGAAUUCUGGUGCAUAUCGUUCUAGUUCUCAGCUUCCUGGGCUUCUGCUUUUCUGACAAAAUGAAUAAGGAAUAAGUGUUUGGACCAUAUACAUUUCUAAGACACGUGGACUGACAUUCGCCAUAAUAAUAGACAUCUGCUCAUGGACAGAAUAAGGGGUGAGUUUGGACCAUACAGAGUUUGGGAAAUUUGUCAUGAUGGACAUCUGCUCAUGGACAGGUAUAAAUCCACACACUGGCGUCCUCUCACCACCGACUCUCUUUGAGUUUGGCGUCUCGAUGAAUAACUCCACUACACUUACUGACCACAAGAGGGAGCCGCUGACCACUGUUUUCACCUGUCUUAUAUUCAACGGGAUAAAUAGGAAAUCUGCUUGAGUGUGUAAACGUUAAGUAAUGAGUUAGUGAGCAAACCCGAAGUAAUUUUCAAUCUAGUUGCAU
Carassius carassius (crucian carp) is the source of this 517-nucleotide long non-coding RNA. RefSeq lists it as uncharacterized. The record is from RefSeq and is a predicted model, not a curated record. The transcript is spliced from 4 exons. Lineage: Eukaryota; Metazoa; Chordata; Actinopteri; Cypriniformes; Cyprinidae.